This 253-nucleotide ribosomal RNA is filed under the name uncultured bacterium. RNAcentral describes it as "partial 16S ribosomal RNA". It matches the Rfam family "Bacterial small subunit ribosomal RNA", at positions 524 to 776 of the family's 1533-position model. The record is from RNAcentral.
UACGAAGGGGGCUAGCGUUGUUCGGAAUUACUGGGCGUAAAGCGCACGUAGGCGGAUAUUUAAGUCAGGGGUGAAAUCCCGGGGCUCAACCCCGGAACUGCCUUUGGUACUGGGUAUCUCGAGUCCGAGAGAGGUGAGUGGAAUUCCGAGUGUAGAGGUGAAAUUCGUAGAUAUUCGGAGGAACACCAGUGGCGAAGGCGGCUCACUGGCUCGGUACUGACGCUGAGGUGCGAAAGCGUGGGGAGCAAACAGG